RNAcentral lists this ribosomal RNA (450 nucleotides) under uncultured bacterium. RNAcentral describes it as "partial 16S ribosomal RNA". It matches the Rfam family "Bacterial small subunit ribosomal RNA", at positions 354 to 796 of the family's 1533-position model. The record is from RNAcentral.
GUGGGGAAUAUUGGACAAUGGGCGAAAGCCUGAUCCAGCCAUGCCGCGUGUGUGAAGAAGGUCUUCGGAUUGUAAAGCACUUUAAGUUGGGAGGAAGGGCAGUAAGUUAAUACCUUGCUGUUUUGACGUUACCGACAGAAUAAGCACCGGCUAACUUCGUGCCAGCAGCCGCGGUAAUACGAAGGGUGCAAGCGUUAAUCGGAAUUACUGGGCGUAAAGCGCGCGUAGGUGGUUUUGUAAGUUGGAGUUGAAAUCCCCGGGCUCAACCUGGGAACUGCCUCCAAAACUGCAUGACUAGAGUACGGUAGAGGGUAGUGGAAUUUCCUGUGUAGCGGUGAAAGGCGUAGAUAUAGGAAGGAACACCAGUGGCGAAGGCGACUACCUGGACUGAUACUGACACUGAGGUGCGAAAGCGUGGGGAGCAAACAGGAUUAGAAACCCCGGUAGUCC